AGAUGUUUAAUGUUUUAUAUGAAGCGAGGAGAGUAACAAGUGAAUGUGUGUCCUAUUUAGGAUGGCUAAACAUAGUUACAAAUCAUCAAAACACACUUCCAUGAGGUUUUUGGAACUUAAAAGUUUACAAGAAAGAAGUUGACAACAAUACUAUCGAAUUUCUUAUUUAUUAGUAAAAUGCGGCUUCGUGAUCUCUUAUAACGCUUAUGCUUGCUUUACCAUCCCGCAUUGAUCAUCAAAGGUUAGUUUCUUCAGUCCCUUACGCCAAAAAUUUGUUGACGACAAUACUAUCGAUUUUUCUUAUUUCUGUCUGAUUCUUACAACUACAGUUUUAUUUAUAUUAUAUGUACUGCAUACCAAUAAUCUUUGUACAAACUCUAUUAUAGUAUUUCCUAUAAAAUAAAGAGACAAAAACACAUACACCUAUGUAUAUAUACUGAUAUACACAUAUAUGUAUGUACGCAAGACUUGUUAGGUUGACGUAAAGGGCAUUAAUGUCAAAAACUUCGUCGUGCUUCUGCCUAAGAAGCCUUCGUUACCAAUAAGCCAUAACCAGUCUAGGGCGGCGCCCAAAAAUAUGCCCCCCAUUAAGAAUAAUACAAGCACAUUUCCCAACGCGUUUUGCUCCGGACCCUGCUCAACCCAAGAAGAUGGUAAAUAUGCCAAUGUGUCAUGUUUUUUAAUAUAAAAAACAAAAAAGCAAUGUAAAUUUACCUUAUAACCCUUGGGUGCCGCCAUAAGUACACAUACAGUAAGGUAACCAUUACUUAAUCCCAAUAUAGAUACAAGCAUAAUCAUCCAUCCUUGAUCGGCAUAUUUUGCAGUGAAAUAAAAUGCGGGCACAAGCAAAAACCGUGACACGACUGAGAUCAUAAGCGCGUUUCGUGACUCCAUCUUGACGCAAUGUAUUAGCGGAAUACAUCGAGAUACCAAGUCCCCAAGGUUAAAUACAGUUACUAGAACAAGUGGAUACCUGCAAAACAAUACGUUACAAAAGAUAUAAUAUAAGAAUAUGUUAAAAACUGUAAAAUAAGUAAUUUUACCAUGAACCCAACUGGUGCAUUCCAGUAUUUUCGUAUAAGAAACCCGGGAAAAUCGACACGCUCACAGCAAAUAUCAAGAACAAAUCUAUU
RNAcentral lists this long non-coding RNA (1133 nucleotides) under Helianthus annuus (common sunflower). Its description in RNAcentral is "hypothetical non coding rna". The record is from RNAcentral. Lineage: Eukaryota; Viridiplantae; Streptophyta; Magnoliopsida; Asterales; Asteraceae.